GUUUUUAUGGUGUAACUAAACACAUAGUCCUUUCAAGACUAAACUGACGACCGUCUAAAAACA
Molecule: transfer RNA, 63 nt
Filed under: Gammarus roeselii
Lineage: Eukaryota; Metazoa; Arthropoda; Malacostraca; Amphipoda; Gammaridae
Description: tRNA-Glu
Source: RNAcentral